GUGACAUGUUAGGACUCUAAUGAGUUUAAGACCUAAUGAGCCUCUUAAGUGAGGCCGCCAGCAACCUUUUUUUUCUGUACAUUUUAAAAAAAAAACUAAAAUUCUAUCCUUAUCGGUGGAUCACUAGGCUCGUGGAUCGAUGAAGAACGCAGCAAACUGCGAUAAUUAUUGCGAACUGCAGAAGUAUUGAGCACAAAAGUUUUGAACGCAAAUGGCCGCAUUGAGGUCAAACUCUUUGCAACGUCUGGUUCAGGGUCAUU
This 260-nucleotide ribosomal RNA is filed under the name Meloidogyne javanica (root-knot nematode). Its description in RNAcentral is "5.8S ribosomal RNA". The stretch from base 105 to 258 matches the Rfam family "5.8S ribosomal RNA". Rfam says of the family: 5.8S ribosomal RNA (5.8S rRNA) is a component of the large subunit of the eukaryotic ribosome. It is transcribed by RNA polymerase I as part of the 45S precursor that also contains 18S and 28S rRNA. The record is from RNAcentral. Lineage: Eukaryota; Metazoa; Nematoda; Chromadorea; Rhabditida; Meloidogynidae.